AGCUUUGCGCAGUGGCAGUAUCGUAGCCAAUGAGGUUUAUCCGAGGCGCGAUUAUUGCUAAUUGAAACUUUUCCCAGUAGCCAUGUCCUUAGUAGUGCUAUUCCAAAACAGACUCCUGAGGGCAGGCCACUUCCUCCUCACAGAAG
This is a small nuclear RNA of Dipodomys spectabilis (banner-tailed kangaroo rat), 146 nucleotides long. RefSeq annotates it as U4 spliceosomal RNA. The transcript has a single exon. The record is from RefSeq and is a predicted model, not a curated record. Lineage: Eukaryota; Metazoa; Chordata; Mammalia; Rodentia; Heteromyidae.